RNAcentral lists this ribosomal RNA (398 nucleotides) under uncultured bacterium. RNAcentral describes it as "partial 16S ribosomal RNA". It matches the Rfam family "Bacterial small subunit ribosomal RNA", at positions 338 to 734 of the family's 1533-position model. The record is from RNAcentral.
CCUACGGGGGGCUGCAGUGAGGAAUAUUGGUCAAUGGUCGGGAGACUGAACCAGCCAAGCCGCGUGAGGGAUGAAGGUACAGAGUAUCGUAAACCUCUUUUGUCAGGGAACAAAGGCGGGGACGUGUCCCCGGAUGAGUGUAUCUGAAGAAAAAGCAUCGGCUAACUCCGUGCCAGCAGCCGCGGUAAUACGCAGGAUGCGAGCGUUAUCCGGAUUUAUUGGGUUUAAGGGGUGCGCAGGCGGUCUGUUAAGUCAGCGGUAAAAGGCCGGGGCUCAACCCCGGCCCGCCGUUGAAACUGGCGGUCUCGAGUUGGAGAGAGGUAUGCGGAAUGCACGGUGUAGCGGUGAAAUGCAUAGAUAUCGCGCAGAACUCCGAUUGCGAAGGCAGCUUGCCGGCU